UACAGAGACUGCAAGCGUUAUUCGGAUUUACUGGGCGUAAAGGGCGCGUAGGCGGUCGUGACAAGUCACUUGUGAAAUCUCCGGGCUUAACUCGGAACGGUCAAGUGAUACUGUCGGACUAGAGUACAGAAGGGGCAACUGGAAUUCUCGGUGUAGCGGUGAAAUGCGUAGAUAUCGAGAGGAACACCUGCGGCGAAGGCGGGUUGCUGGGCUGAUACUGACGCUGAUGCGCGAAAGCCAGGGGAGCGAACGGG
RNAcentral lists this ribosomal RNA (254 nucleotides) under uncultured bacterium. RNAcentral describes it as "partial 16S ribosomal RNA". It matches the Rfam family "Bacterial small subunit ribosomal RNA", at positions 524 to 776 of the family's 1533-position model. The record is from RNAcentral.